CCACGCCCAGUGCGCGGUUGUCUUUUCACGUAUGGAAUAGCCGGGUUCAAGCUUACCCUGUCCCAUUUUCAGGGCAUAUGGCUAGUUAAGAUAGUCCUUGAUCAACAGGCCUACAUACGCAUCCAAUCCUUAAUUAACCUGGGCGGAGCAUCACCUGUUCCUAGCCCAAGUCCCGAUUUAAGUACUUCCAUCCUUAGGAGUGUUUGUGUUCCUUAGGAUGAAAAGAGCAUUAUAGAGAACUUUACAGUAAGAUUCCACCAUGCUCCCAAUGAAAAUAUUCUUGCAGGUAGAAAUCAUCCUUCCUCAGGAUAAACCUGAGCUAGGCAUAAGUGCAAAGGACAAACUCUAUCUGCUUAUAAGCAGGGCUAAGCAUUUUUUUGUAAAUUAUAUUUUGAUACUUCACCAGAAGUAUCUAUAAAAGGGAUGGAUUUCAAGGUAGCCAAUGCAUCAAAGAGUUUUCAAGCAACUCCUAUAAACCUAAUGCACAUUCACUAGACUUAAAGUAUGUAAAAAUAAUUUAAAAACACAAGGAAGGGGUUGCAUGCACCGGGGCUUGCCUGGGUAACACUAGGUUAGUGUUGUUAGACGAUGUCCACUUGACGAUCCUCUUCAGGUUUGUCCAUUAGCAUCAUCAUGUGGAUUGGCCCAUGCUUGGGGUCGACUUGGGUCGUUCUCCGCAUCACGCGAUUAAUUAACGUACCUGAAUGAAAUGCAUUAUGCACAUGAAUGCAUAUAAACGAGAAUAUUACAAACCUAAAUAGUGCUACGCGAUAGCGAAUUUAACACCUAGCGGUGAGGCGUUGUACAAGUUUGUACGAAAACACUAGUUAUUAAUAUACGACUACGCGCAAUAAUUACGCUUUUCAAACCUAACGCAAACAUCACGAACAACAAAUUAUACACAUGAAAUACAAUUAGCCUAAUCACAACUUAUUAGUUAAUUAAUUAAAUUCUGAAUUAAUCCCUUUCUUUAUAAAUUAUACUACAUCUUUAUAAGUGAAUAAAAUAUUUCAUCAUCACACAUGCUUGCCAAAAUUCUACUCGGUCCACUAAUUCAGCUAAGUGACCGGAAUAGCGAAAUAACUCGCUAUAACUCAAUCUGGCUCGAUAAUCGCAAGAACUGCGAAGUCGAUGAGAGUUUCGUGACUUACGCAAUUUAUCGAGCACCUUAAUGAGCAUCGCACUAGCACUUUAAUUUAUUCAUCGAUCAAACUAUUCUGAAUAAUUUAUCAGCUUACCGUUUCCAGAGCUGACACGAAUCCACGAGAUCGGUAGCGAUUUUCCGAUCCAGGCAAUUUAUCGAGCGCUUAGGGAAUAUCGCGCUGCUAGCUUCGUCUUCACCUGAUUCUUUGGUUUUCUUGCUGACACGCGGAACGACGACGACACGGGAGGGUGAUGUAUAUAGAGCUGCACCCGCGACGCAACGACGCUAACCGGUGGAAUCGACGACGCGAUUAGGAAUUAAAGCCGAGCGAGCCGAGAGGGCGCACCGGCGAGCAGAAAACCAUGCGAGUACAAAACGGGGAAAACGACGGGCUCGACAACACGCGAAACGACGACAAUCGAAUCGGCAACAAAGUGUUGGCGAAUUCGAUGAACAUGACCACAGUCGCGAGCUGACACGAUCAAAAUAACUGUGGUCAACGAGCUUGUGACAGAAGCGAUGAUGGUGCGGGAACUCGACAUGCUUGUGGGAGCAGAUGAAAUUCGUGCGCGCGGCAAACAAGGAAAGAGCGAGCUAUACGUGAGCAGAGAGGUCGACGAGCGGCGCGCGCGCACGGACAACAGCGAAGAGCUCGGCGCGCAGCGAGUUGGAACUGGAGCGCCGCGAUGGGCGAAGUGGAGCACGGCCAGCGCGCGUCUACCAAAGAACUCGCGCGGUACACAGGGAGAACAGGCAGCCACCAGGGAGAUCGUCCAGGCGCGCGCGACGAGCAGAGAGCCUGCCAUGGAAACAGAGGGAGCAGGUCACGACGAGCUGGAGUACCGAGGCCAUGGAACCGAGCAGACAGAGCGCCGUGAGAUGGAGCUGGGCAGUGGAGAGCUCGGCUGGGCGAGCAGGGACGCCGCGAGCAGAGGCAAACAGCCAUGGACGGAGCAGGAAAGAAAGAGCCGCGAGCGCUGAGAGAGAGAAGCAGGGGGGCGCGGCCAUGGGAGUGGCAGGACCGAGCGCCGUCCGAGCUCCGGCCAUGAAGGGAGUUCCGGCCACAGAGGGACGCAGGGAGCGUAGGAAGCUCCAAGCGGAGGAGACGCGCAGGGAAGAAUCGAGCACGGUAGGAUUUUCUUCUCGAGCUGAACGGUGGCUUGGACACGCGCAAAGUGAUAUAGACGCUGAAAAAAUCUGCGCAGGGGCGGCGGCUGAUUUUUUUUCCAGGCUGAGAAGAUGAGAGAUGAGCUCAGCUGAGCAGAGACGUUGUCGUGCUGGAGAUAAGAACCGGAGACCUGUUCGUGCUGGACUGCUGGAGAUAAGGACCAGCGAUCAAAUGAUCCUUGAGCGGUAGCUAGUAGAUAAAGAAUAAGGGCUUGUUCGGUUAGCUCUCAAUACAUGUGGAUUGAGUGGGAUUGGAUGGAUUUUAAUCCCAAACAAGUCAAACUUUUUCUCAAUUUUUUCCAAUCCCAUCCAAUCCAUGUGUAUUGGGAAUAACCGAACAAGCCAUAAGAGAGAGUACGGUGGAGGAUUAGUCUAAAUAGAUAUUUUUCUAUUUUUCAUUGUUUUUUAUUUUCUUUCUUUUUUUACUGAAAAACAUAGAUAUUUUAGAUCCCGAAUUUUUUUAGCGAUGUAUACAGGGUAGACAGUAAUUGUGACACGAUUUUGAUUUGGUGAAUACUUUGUAAUUAGAUGAAUUUGCGUCCGUUAUUUAUAUCCAAAAUUUUGGAUCGGGGCGAGACGCAAUCAGAACAAUGUUAACAACAGUAUUUCAGACUGUGUUCCAAUUGAUUUGAAAUCAAAUAAUUUUAUCCGCAGUCAACACCCGGUUCCACGACAACAGAUAAUUUAUGUGGAGAAUCGAAUCUCAAUUAUAAAUUCUCAUACGCGAUUUCUCGGUUGACGAGUGGGGACAUAAUUAUUUGCACCGAAAACUUAGUCGUCGAGUUCUACUUAAUCUGUUCGGGAUAAAAUCAUCCGAGUGAGUCGGGCUUCCGAAUUCGUAUUCGCGCGAGCGAUGAAUUUUAAAUAAUCAUCGGACGCACCAAUUUUCAGAACAAAUAUGUUCCGAACAGCACGAAAAUUUAGGGAGAGCCCGGAAAGAUGAAAAUAAAAACGACUCGCACUCGCGACAGAUGGAACAAAUACGAUAUUUAAAAUCGCGAUAGGCGAAGAUGAUUAAAAUUUAGCACCUGUUUUAUCCACUGAUAUUACGUGUUUAAAUCCGUACUUGUUGUCGAGUGGAAUAUAAACACCAGGGGUGUUACAGCCCUCCCCCCUUAAAAGAAUCUCGUCCCGAGAUUCGAAACGAAAGACUUCUAAGAGUAGAGAAGUAUGUAACCCAUGUCCAUAUCAGCGGUAAUCAUAAGACAGUCUCAAGCGAAGACGAGUGUCUCAGAAUGUUGUUUCUCUAGUGGACAUAACAUGUAUCGCCUUAAGCUAAUUUAGAGAUGUCCAACAAUAGAGACGGUGUCUGCCCGAGGAACACAUAAGGUUUCAUGUGUGCAGUUUGUUUUUUCUGAUAGCAUUGUACUAUCUGAGUCUGUUGGGUAAGUGGUAAAUACGUGAUUUUACUCAAGCAGAAUCAGAUGCAAUCUCUUGGGUAAAACACAAAGAAAGAGGUUUACCAACAAGUGGUUAUAGUAAAUCCAUAGCACAGGAGAUGGGUGUGGAUGUCGAACAACAUCACAGUUAACUCAUGUUAGCCCGAAAAUCCAAGUUCAAGAAAAAUGAUAGAGACUCGAGAAAAUAUCAAUGAAGAGAUCCGUUGAUGUUGACUUCACGACCAACCCAUUUCAUUAAAUACUUAGCACGGCUCGACUUGAUCACACAUGCUGGAAAAGCACACAUGAGGCGAUCAAGGCGUGACUAGAAUGAUGAUUAGGGGUUACUGGCCGACUUAAUCUUGAUUCUUAUAAGUACCUUCUUAGGAUAGUUUGAACCAAAGUGGGUUUAGAUAACUCGACAAAACGAUCUCUAAACUCGACCUUUGUUCAUUGGGCAGUUACAGGUUAGUAAAACCAACUUUUGAACUACUUUUGACAUUGAGUAGGUCCUCUCAGUACCAUUGGUAAGCCAAGGGUUGAGAGUCCACAUUUUCUAGCAAAAGAUCAUGUAUUUGGAUAGAAAUCCAUUUGGUCAGGUUGUUCAUCCAUUUCUUCCUUGCGAGAUGAAUUGACUUGGUUCGGGAAUACAUGGAUUAAAUAAGAGAGUGAAUGAACAAACUCCUGCAUCUCAGCAGCAGGGGAAACAGAUCACCAUUUUGCGAGCUAAUCAGUUGUCUCUCGACACUAAAAAGCUCCAAGGCUUCACCUUUACACAAAGGACGUAAAGGGAACUUGUAUGUGUGUAGUCACCACCAAAGUAAAGGACAAGAGACCACACAUUAAAGGGAUAUGCUCUUUUGAUCCAACGGAGAUGAUAGAUGUUGCUUGAUCACUUGACAAACAACAUAGAAAUUGUUUCAAGGAAGUAGUUUACGGAAGAUAACACAUCAGUGUAGUUCCACAAUGUAUCAUGACCAGAGACCUUGAUACCAGCAUCCAACGAGUAGCACAGUCCUGUGUGCGCAUUCACAGGAGGCUCUUAGUUUCGCUGCGGCACCAUAAGUCAUUAACCAUGACACCAUUACCGAAUUGGCACCAAUAACAAUAUCACGUAGCAAAAAAAACAUAUUGUACCAAGAUAACGCAUUGACAUAGUCUCAUAAUGGAUUACAACUACUAACUGUGAUACCAGCGCGUGCCGAGUAGCACAACCAUGUGUGCGCACCCACAGAAGGCCCUCGGUUUCGUCACGGCACCAUCAGUUUUAGUCAUAGCACCAUUACCAGACAUAACCAAUAAGAAAUCUCGCGCGACACUAAUGGAUUAGGCAAGGGUGACAAUAUACAAAGAGACUCUACCUGUCAAAAGGGUUACAAGUAGAGAGUCAAAUAGAUCAUGACCCAAUGAAAUGAACAAGGCAUGGCCAUAACCUAAACUUGAUGAAAGGAGUAUGAUGGGAGACUGUUAAUUCAGCCCCAAACAUAUUUCUAUGCCCAUCAUAGGGAUUACAAGGUCAAGGAUUAGUAUCUGAUUAGAUACGGAGGGAAAACAAUCAUAAGAUGAAGUUGGUAUGCCUUCGAUAAUUAUGAUGAAACCAAAGGCAUCAAACUUAAGAAAAUGAUCGGACAUGUCUUUCCUAAGUUAGGUUGGUAAAACAACAUGGCGAUCUUCAAGAACAGGCAAACUAGAAUUAGGGAUAUCAGCUUGCGCCAAUCGAGCAAGGGCAUGGUUCUAGAAGGAGACAUGACUCGAGGUUCUUGUUUUAAGCUUGGGUACACUUUAUGUCCAAUAAGGAAAUAUCUACGCAUUUAUUUGCAUGGGCUUGGUCAUGGAGCGAUAAUGGUAAAUUCAAAUUUGGGUCUCGGUUCACCAACUAAGAACAUGGCCUAAUUCUAGAUUUAGGCAAACAAGUCACUAACCUUCUAUCGACACAUUAAGCACAAGAGCACACAUAUAGCAUCUAAACAUAAUACCUAAGGAACGGAGAACAACUAUUUUAUCGAAGUUCAUAAUACAACAUUACACCACAUUAUCUACAAUCACUGGUUACUGGAAUAAGGAUGAGAGAAGCAUUUUGGGUGUAUAGGUGACAAACAUGAUGCAACAAUCAGGAUGCAUGCUCGUCUUAUUCGUCCUCACUGAUUUUGCCAACAUAAUGUGGCGAUAGCGUUCUAUAUCGGUGGCAUACUUGCGACUCUCACGGUAUUUUGCUAGUCGUCAACUACACAUACGUUUUUGAGGUUAGUGUACCUGCAAAAAAUUCCAUUACAGCCCAGUUCCCAAUGAUGCAAGUCACACAUGACAGUGUAUCACAGUUUAUACUCCAUAUAUUGCUAUAUGGAGGCCAGCUCAUCAUUAAGCACCGAGCCACGCAUAGGCGCCGUUGCCACACUUUAACCAUAGGGCAACUCAUUAUGGUGACUCACCUUCUUACCUGAGCGUAGGUGCGUCGUUGCAAGUACAUUACACUUCUCAGUAUUCCCAUGUCUGUAUACCCAUACACAUCCAUGGGGUACUGAAUUCCCGGAAAAGUAAGUACUCCACAUCACAGCCUUCAUAUAUACAUAUGUGGAACAUGUAUACAAUCAAGCGCUACAAUUAAGCACUUCCCUAGACCGACAGUUGUUCGGUCAUGCUCUCACAUCUCACCAUACCUAAGCGUCGAUCCAUUCAAAACUGAAUGGCCUUAAAAAUAACAAUACACAUGUAUGCAAUACCCCCGGUUGUGGGUUAUGGUUUUGAACUAAGCCACCUGAUAGUCCUUAGUUUAGGGCUUAAUAGAGGAUGUUGCUAGCAUUAUAGUUUUUCAAAAAUAUUUUUCAAAGCCAAACAAUGUGUUUAGUUGAAAAUAGGUUUUUCAAAACCAAAAUUUUGUUUUAAAAAUAAGUAUGUGACCGUAUAUACUUAAUCAUGCUCCGAUAACAGCUGCGGCAGAACCUCCCAAGUUAUUGGGCCCACAUGCACCUGUCCUUGUCUCAAAGACCUCAGACAGCUAUGCGUGUGCACUAAAUAACUUAACAGGAUCCGUCCGAUUGCCCCAAGGACAUCGGAUAAACCACUUACAACCAGAACCGCGGGAUUAAGUAACACAAAUCACACACACCAAUAUUUUUGCAGCGGAAAUAUUAUUACCAAAUUUUACAAGUUACAAAAAAUUUACUUCGUACAUGAUCGGAGUGAUUACUACAGUGAUUCAAAGAAAGAAACUUUUAAUUGUUAUAAAUUAUUUAUAGUUUUGAAAUAUAUGCUAGCUCAAGUGACCAUCCUCAAUAAGAAGUAUAGAAGAGUUACUUAGACUUAUAAGAAGGCCGAGCCCACCGGCACUUAACACCAUCAACAGCAGCACAAAGUUAAAACCUAAAAAACAACAGGGAAUAAAACCCUGAGUAUGGAAUUACUCAGCAAGUCUUACCCGACUAAAGAAAAGACUCUCAAGGGUAUGCUGGAUUUGGGAAUCAAGGAGAGGCUUUUAGCAAGAAUCAACUUAGAUACUUUUGCAGAAAAAGCUUACUAAAGUGAGUCCUUACUUUCAAUGUUUUAAUGCCAGAUUAAAUAUUAAUAGACUCUGUUUGCACCUAGUCUAAUUUCACCAUUUCAUCAAUACAACAUCAUUUUUACUCAUAAUGUUUACAUCCUGACUUAGGUUGCAGGUCGGAGAUCUAGUCUCCACUCUCCGGGGAUAUAACGGUGAUCCGAAUCGAUUUACUCAGCUGAGGAUCUCUAACCACACGACAUAUGUAGCACUUAACCCUUGCAUAUGUCAACCGUUCCCACAGAUCCUCCACAACGUGAACCGGUCCGCGCUACCCGGGAGCACAGUACUCCUCCAUCCAGCCUCUAGCCAGGAGGGUACACGCUACUCCCACCAUCUCCCACGCCCAGUGCGCGGUUGUCUUUUCACGUAUGGAAUAGCCGGGUUCAAGCUUACCCUGUCCCAUUUUCAGGGCAUAUGGCUAGUUAAGAUAGUCCUUGAUCAACAGGCCUACAUACGCAUCCAAUCCUUAAUUAACCUGGGCGGAGCAUCACCUGUUCCUAGCCCAAGUCCCGAUUUAAGUACUUCCAUCCUUAGGAGUGUUUGUGUUCCUUAGGAUGAAAAGAGCAUUAUAGGGAACUUUACAGUAAGAUCCCAUCAUGCUCCCAAUGAAAAUAUUCUUGCAGGUAGAAAUCAUCCUUCCUCAGGAUAAACC
RNAcentral lists this long non-coding RNA (7880 nucleotides) under Zea mays. RNAcentral describes it as "long non-coding RNA (ZMAY_LNC000031)". The record is from RNAcentral. Lineage: Eukaryota; Viridiplantae; Streptophyta; Magnoliopsida; Poales; Poaceae.